This 496-nucleotide ribosomal RNA is filed under the name uncultured bacterium. RNAcentral's name for it is "partial 16S ribosomal RNA". It matches the Rfam family "Bacterial small subunit ribosomal RNA", at positions 28 to 506 of the family's 1533-position model. The record is from RNAcentral.
GAUGAACGCUGGCGGCGUGCCUAAUACAUGCAAGUCGAGCGAACAGACGAGGAGCUUGCUCCUCUGACGUUAGCGGCGGACGGGUGAGUAACACGUGGAUAACCUACCUAUAAGACUGGGAUAACUUCGGGAAACCGGAGCUAAUACCGGAUAAUAUAUUGAACCGCAUGGUUCAAUAGUGAAAGACGGUUUUGCUGUCACUUAUAGAUGGAUCCGCGCCGCAUUAGCUAGUUGGUAAGGUAACGGCUUACCAAGGCGACGAUGCGUAGCCGACCUGAGAGGGGGACGCCCCCCCCUGAACCUGAGCCCCCGCCCGGCCCCCCACGGGGGGCCGAGGUAGGGAUUCUUCCGCAAUGGGCGAAACCCUGCCGGACCAACGCCGGGUGAGUGAAGAAGGUCUUCGGUUCGUAAAACUCUUUUUUUGGGGAAGAACAAAUGUGUAAGUAACUAUGCCCGUUUUGCCGGUACCUAAUCAAAAAGCCCCGGCUAACUCCGU